AUGGCUAUCAAGAGAAAGGGUCAAUCGAAAGCCCGAAAUCUGGCGCGUGCAAAAACCAAGCUCCGGCCCACCAGAAGCUGGGGCAACCGCAGAGUGUUACUGGCGUUGGGUCACUGCGGCAAGAAUGACUUGAAGCCCAAGGCGUGGGAGCAGGAGGCUACGACAACUUUGGCUGAGAGUGAUAGGGAAGGCAGAAUGGGGGCGAGCAGGGGCAAGAGGAUCCACGGGUAUGUGAAGAGGGAAGGGAAUGUAAAAGAGGCCCCCAAAUUUGAUUCAAGGGAGACUGCCCUGAAAGAAGAGGAAAGAGGAACUCUAUCCCCAAAGAUGCCACAAUUCUUGGCUUUGGAAGAUGUGGAGUUGGGAGAGUCAGAUGAGAGGGAGGAUAUUUCUGAAGAUGAACAAGCAAGAAGGCAUGUUACUCUGGCUUUUGUUGAGAAAGAUGCCAUGGUAUCCUUGAAGAAAGAUAUUGGGGUAUCCUUGAAGAACUGUUCUCAGCGUCAUUAUAAGAAGAAGAAGAAAAAAAGGUUAGAAAUGGAGGUUGGAAAGUGGGAGAGGGGAGGGUACACCGAGGAGACAAGAGCCUUAGGAACACAGAGAACUAGGGAGGCCCUGUGA
Molecule: long non-coding RNA, 615 nt
Filed under: Monodelphis domestica (gray short-tailed opossum)
Lineage: Eukaryota; Metazoa; Chordata; Mammalia; Didelphimorphia; Didelphidae
Description: lncRNA (ENSMODG00000042443.1)
Source: RNAcentral